RNAcentral lists this long non-coding RNA (1932 nucleotides) under Mus musculus (house mouse). RNAcentral's name for it is "long non-coding RNA chr10:69642910-69644842". Lineage: Eukaryota; Metazoa; Chordata; Mammalia; Rodentia; Muridae. The record is from RNAcentral.
UCCUCCUUCUUAUUUUGCAAUUUUGUGUACCUGGGUAUUUUUUCCUGUGUGUACAUCUUUGUACCAUGUGUGUGCAGUGUCCAUGGGAACUAGGAAAGGAAGUCAGGUGCCUUGGAACUGGAGUUGCCAAUGCUUGUGAGCCACCACUCUGGUGCUGGGAAUUGAACCUGGGUCAUCUGCAAGAACAGCCAGAGCUUUUAACUGCUGAGCCACCUCUCCAGUCCCGAGGUGGGCUUUCUUAUUAAGAUUUGGUUCAAGGAUAUUGAAACAAUAGCAGCAACAGCAAAACCCUUUUACACACACAACCCCAAAGGAGUAUCUUUCUUGCUGUGUUGUGGGACAGAUGUAGCUUUAUACUAACAUGUAACUUGUUUCAAUGUAAGAAUAUGGUCACAUUUUCCUGACUUAGUCCUUUUGACGAGCGAUUUAAAAACCUGCUUGAUGACUUUGUUAGCUACAGUUUAAGGUUUACUAAGACCUUCUUUGGCUGUUGUUGAUGCUUUAAUUCUUAUUUUUUUGGUAAUAAUUCCUUUGGUGUGUGCUUUAGGCACAGAAAGUCUUUGUGUGAACUCCAGCAGUUCAAGCAAGGCGAAAGAUCUCAUCUCCCAGAUGACCAGGUCAAGUUAAACUCCACAGAGGUACCCUUUUGUUUGUCCAUUGAAAGCAUCACCCAGGAUGUCCUAGUUUGUGCCGAGCCAAAAGACGACCUAUUUUUGUCCUGGUACUUUGAAUAGGCCUUCUCUCUGACAGGGGCUGCCCUGUAAGCUGACCUCCCUGGCUUUCUUCCCUGUUGUAAGGGAAAUGUUCUUCCUGUCCUUAUCAGUGCUGGAUUCCAAUUUUGUGAGGCCUGAGUAGUCCACCCAGACUUAGGCAGUAUCCUAAGAGGAUGGAGAGGCUGCCAUUGAUAGGAACUGAAGAGCCUGUCUGCAAGAUGAGGAAGAUGUCCUUCUAGUCUGUCUCUUCUUCCUGCUUCUUUUCUGGGGGUGGUGUCUUCCCCCUCUUCCCCAAGUCUUGUUUUCCUGUGGCUAUGAACUAACAUUUGAAUGUCACGGGAAGACGGAGAGCAGCAUCUUCAGAAGAUGCGGCCUCUCCUCCCGAGUCAGCACCGGAGUUUGCUUCUUAUCAUCCAACUGCUAUUAUGAUUUGGGCUGGGACAAAAAUACAUCAGAGGCAGUCAGCUCCGUGUACGUGCAUUGAGAGAAGGGAAGAGAGAGAGGUGGGUAGGAAUGAUUUUAAAUAGACCUCAUUUGCACAGCAGAAAGAUGAGCCCAGCUGUGUGCUGUUGCUGGGCUUUCCAUGAUGACAAGCUAGCCCUGCUGUGGGGAAGGUGGCUCAGUCAGGAAAGGACCUGCCACACAAGCCAGGGGACCUGCAUGCCAGUCCCAGCCACUGCAUAGGAAGCCACAUGUGGUGAACACUUGCAGUCCCAUCUUAGAGGAGGCGGGACCUGAAGAUUCCUGGUGCUCAUUGGCUAGCUAGGAAAAUAGGCAAGAAUCAGUACCCAUCGAGAGACAUUAUCUCAAAAACGAAUGGCAUCUAAGGAGGAAUAGCUCCGGAGGUAGUUCCCAGACCUCUGUGUAGAUGUACAAACCCCACAAAGAUGGGGGAAAAAAACAUCAAGGAGUCAUCUUCAUCCUGAAUGUAUUUCUGGUUUUUUUGUGUGUUCAUUUUUCUUCUGCACUGUCUUGUUACCAGUGUUCAGGUUUAGAGAAACCGUCCUGGUGAGGCUAUCCAGCAUUGUUGGGAAUGUUUGGGUAACAAAAACAAACAAACAAACAAACAAACAAACAAAAGGAUGAAUAGUGACAUCACAAUACUCCAGAAGCAAUCCCAGUCAGAGAUUCCAUUGCUGUUGAACGGUCCUUUCUUUUGUUGUCUAUUGAGUCGGUCUGUUGUCUGGAGAGGGUCCCUUUUCAGUGAGAGUCUGAGAGG